Molecule: ribosomal RNA, 372 nt
Filed under: Triticum aestivum (bread wheat)
Lineage: Eukaryota; Viridiplantae; Streptophyta; Magnoliopsida; Poales; Poaceae
Description: partial small subunit ribosomal RNA
Source: RNAcentral
AUGGCCGGCGCUGGAUCGAGUUCAUCCGCACCAGGAGAAGGAGGCUUUCACUUGAUGAGUUGCCUAAAAGAAGUUCCGACACUCAGAGGUGACAACCACACUGAGUGGAGGAAGAAAGUUGAACUGGCAUUUGUUUGUGCUGAUCUUGACUGGGUUGUGGAGAAACCACAGCCGAUCAGACCCAAAGAGCCAGUAAGAGAGGCCACUAAUGAUGAUGCUGCAUGGGCUAAAAAGAAGGGGGACUAUGCUCCUUUGGAGCAGUCCUACCUCAUAGAUAACCAAAAGUGGGUCAAUGCUGUAACGCCCCGGAUCCGAUGCGCCAGGUGUCUGCCAGUUAUUCGCCGUCGUUGCCAGGUACAUGUUGUGCGAUGA